UACGAAGGGGGCUAGCGUUGCUUGGAAUCACUGGGCGUAAAGCGCACGUAGGCGGACUCUUAAGUCGGUGGUGAAAUCCUGGAGCUCAACUCCAGAACUGCCUUCGAUACUGAGAGUCUCGAGUCCGAGAGAGGUGAGUGGAACUGCGAGUGUAGAGGUGAAAUUCGUAGAUAUUCGCAAGAACACCAGUGGCGAAGGCGGCUCACUGGCUCGGUACUGACGCUGAGGUGCGAAAGCGUGGGGAGCAAACAGG
RNAcentral lists this ribosomal RNA (253 nucleotides) under uncultured bacterium. RNAcentral describes it as "partial 16S ribosomal RNA". It matches the Rfam family "Bacterial small subunit ribosomal RNA", at positions 524 to 776 of the family's 1533-position model. The record is from RNAcentral.